RNAcentral lists this ribosomal RNA (253 nucleotides) under uncultured bacterium. Its description in RNAcentral is "partial 16S ribosomal RNA". It matches the Rfam family "Bacterial small subunit ribosomal RNA", at positions 524 to 776 of the family's 1533-position model. The record is from RNAcentral.
UACAGAGGGUGCAAGCGUUAAUCGGAUUUACUGGGCGUAAAGCGUGUGUAGGUGGUCAGGAAAGUCGGUUGUGAAAUCCCCGGGCUCAACUCGGGAACUGCUUCCGAUACUUCUUGACUCGAAUUCGGUAGAGGGAGGCGGAACUCCAGGUGUAGCGGUGAAAUGCGUAGAUAUCUGGAAGAACACCAAUGGCGAAGGCAACCUCCUGGGCCUGAAUUGACACUGAGACACGAAAGCGUGGGGAUCAAACAGG